CAGGAACAUUCUGAUCUCUUCACUGGAGCUAAAAAUACAGCCUUAUAUGGUUGGAGAUUUAUUCUGGAGAAAAUGGACCUGUCCAGUAAAAUAACACCAGCACAAGCAAAGAAAAAGUGGGACAAUUU
Sinocyclocheilus grahami is the source of this 128-nucleotide long non-coding RNA. RefSeq lists it as uncharacterized. The transcript is spliced from 2 exons. The record is from RefSeq and is a predicted model, not a curated record. Lineage: Eukaryota; Metazoa; Chordata; Actinopteri; Cypriniformes; Cyprinidae.